Molecule: ribosomal RNA, 355 nt
Filed under: uncultured bacterium
Lineage: Bacteria
Description: bacterial SSU rRNA
Rfam family: Bacterial small subunit ribosomal RNA
Source: RNAcentral
GGUGGAUCCGAGCGUUAUCCGGAUUUAUUGGGUUUAAAGGGAGCGUAGAUGGAUGUUUAAGUCAGUUGUGAAAGUUUGCGGCUCAACCGUAAAAUUGCAGUUGAUACUGGAUAUCUUGAGUGCAGUUGAGGCAGGCGGAAUUCGUGGUGUAGCGGUGAAAUGCUUAGAUAUCACGAAGAACUCCGAUUGCGAAGGCAGCCUGCUAAGCUGCAACUGACAUUGAGGCUCGAAAGCGUGGGGAGCAAACAGGAUUAGAUACCCUGGUAGUCCACGCCGUAAACGAUGACUGCUAGGUGUCGGGUGGCAAAGCCAUUCGGUGCCGCAGCUAACGCAAUAAGCAGUCCACCUGGGGAGU